This is a long non-coding RNA of Sapajus apella (tufted capuchin), 5652 nucleotides long. RefSeq lists it as uncharacterized. NCBI's taxonomy places the organism in Eukaryota, Metazoa, Chordata, Mammalia, Primates, Cebidae. The transcript is spliced from 4 exons. The record is from RefSeq and is a predicted model, not a curated record.
GCUAGUAACCUCAUUUUAACUUAGUUACAUCUAUCAAACCUGUCUCCAAAUAUACCCACCUUUUGAGAUACUGGGGAUUAGGACUUCAAUACACGAAUUUGGUGGUGGUGGGGGGUCAUAAUUCAGUCCAAGACUCAUGUAUAUUGUUUAUGUUUUCCCUGCUAAAAUGUAAGUACCAUGGUGGAGAAGACCUUUUCUAUCUUGUCUGAUAUCCAAAGCACUUAGGUUGAUAGCUGGUAAGAGUUAGUACUCAAUAAGCUUUUGCUCAAUAAAUGAAUAGGCUUGACUAGUGAAUUAUAUGACUUGAUUACUGAUAACAUGUGAAAGCAAGGCAGAGAAAAUGUCUUGAAUGUUUCCCAGGUUUGUAGUUUAGAAGACUGAAAGGCUAGUGGUAUCCUUAAACAUGAUAGGCAGCACAAGAAAAAAUCAGGAUUUGGGAGAAAAGCUUUAGACAUGCUGAGUGAGAAAUACCUGAAAUAUAUUCAGGUGGAAAAAUUAAGAAGACCUGUAGAUAUAUGGCCUGGAAUGGAAUGAAGAGAUCUUGGUCAAACACAUAGAUUUGGGCUCAUCAAUUUAUGGGGAGUAGUAAAAUCUAGAUAGCAGAUGAGAUUAUUCAAAAAGAACAUGCAUAGGAAGAAGCCUAGUACAGAAACAGGAAAAACACUAAUGUUUAAAGGUUGAGAGGGGAAAGCAAAGCUUGUUUGAGAAGUGUCAGGAGGCAGGAAGAAAGGAAGAAGUGAGGAAUCAGAAUCAAAGGGGAAAAGAUAUUGAAUGGAAUGAUCACCUAUGUCAAGGGAUAAGGUAUUUCUCAAAGACUGUUUCAAGGAAUAACCUUUCCAUGAUUUACUCCUUGGAAAAAGUGGUCAAUUUAGUGAGAUAAAUGCUGAAAUUUACAUACUUCUCUUGCAGAAUCCCCUAAAACAUUAGCAUAAUAAUGUCUCUGAGAAAUCUUGCUUUACAGAAACACAUACAUUUUAAUUUCCAAAUUAAAGUUUCCAAAGCUCAUGAUUUGGGCAAAUAUCUUUCCCUUUUCCCCCCUACGUAACAACUAUUAAUAAUAGUACAGAGAACUGGAUCCCAAGGAACACUCUUUGUGAAACCAUGUUAUCACAUAAACAGGUAAACAUUGAGAGGAUUCCUCUGCAUUUGACAAUUAGGGACCUUGUCUGAGUGGUUUCCAUAAAGUGGUGGGGCCUUAAGGGUGAAUAGGGAGGGACAGAAUUAAAGCAGUAGGCAUAAUCUGCUCCUUCUAUAAGCUUGAUCUCAAAGAAGAGGAAGAAGAUAGGGCAGUGUCUUGGGUGGAUGGUUGUGUAAGGCUAUAUAAUUAUUUUUUAAUGGAAAGGAUAUGACUAGGUUUAUAGAUAGUAGAGAGAUUGAGGAAUAGUAGCAAGAGGAGUUCAACAAACAAUAAUCAAUAGUAAAAAAGGUCUACAAGGAGAAGGGAGAAACUAAAAUCAGGAGAGGUUUCUUCCCUUUUCUGGAGACUGGAGAAAAUGAAAGAAGAGGCUGCAGUGGUAGAUGCAGGGUAAGAGGUUGUGGAAGCCCAUGAUAGGCUUCAGUUUCUCAGACAAGAACAUGUGUUCAGAAUUUGUCUUUGGUGCUGAAACAAAGGUGCCCUCCCUUUCUUUCCCCUCCACCCAAAAAAGGUCACGUAUGAUAUCGCUCAUGUAAAAAUCCUUUCUAAAUGUCAUGAUUAUUAUGCUAUGGUCAGAGCAUCACCUCUUUUUUGUGCCACUAUAUAGGCAUCAUUGUUCUGACCUUUAAUCGUCUGGUUUCCUUCAGGUCUCUGCUUCUGGAGCAGACUUAUUUUAUGCAUUUCUGUUUCCUACUACCUUUUACAGAGUGGUGUGUUAUAAACAUUGAUUAGUGAGUGACAGUCAGCAUCCCAAUCCAUCCUCAACUGAGAAUUCAGUUAAUUGCCUUAUUAUAAAUUGAAGAAUCCUAGUACCAGGGUUUAGCUACACAAUUCAGUUCUGUACACUUUCAGUGGUAAAUCUUAUCUAGAAUUUUGUCCUGAUCUUAUUUCUUUACAUUCAGUUUUCAUGAUUCAUGCCCAGCUUAGUUGAUUUUUAUCCAAGAUUGCUCUACCUGGUUGUCCCAAAGUGUGCUAUCUUUGUAUAUAAAACACUUAUCAGAGUGCAAGAUACAAAGCAAGUUUAAUAAAUGGUGGUGGUCAUUAUUACCGUUAUAUGGGAUUCAACUCAACCAAGGAGAGCUACAUUCCCAAGGUUGCAGUUUUAUAUUUCUCGAUUGUCUACAUAGUCUUCUAGAUCUUGCCCUUUCUGUGCACAUUUUCUUUAAUAUUUUCCCCUUAUGAACUAUGUAGUCCUUUUCAUCCCACGGUUUAAUUGUUAACACCAAAUCUUUCAUUUGCAUUUAUUUAUUUAAUUUACUUACUUAAUAUACAUAUUUAUACUUCAACAUUUUCCCUAGCCAGCAUUUAUCAUCUUUCAUUUUUCCAUAUUUCAGGCACUCCAAAAUGUCAUUCUUUUAUUCAUUUCUUCUCCAAUGAUCAGUUACCAAUAAGCCUGAAAGCCAUCAUUGUAAAAUUUCCAUGUACACAGCAAUACUUCUUUGUUGGGCACUUAUUAUGUACUACUUACUAUUCCUGGUAUUGAAGACACAAGCAUGGUAAAUUAAAAAAUAGUCACCAUCUAUAUGGAGCUCACAUUCUAGUGAAAGAGUUAGACAAUAAACAAUUCAGAAUUAGAUAACUAAUGAACUUGUAAACAUUAGUUUCUUAGGUGGGUCACCAGACAGUAGAAAACUAACUUAUAAAGAAUGUGUGGCUUGGGUAGAAAAUAUUUCUGGAGCAAAGAAAGUAUAGGCAAGCUGUAUCUGAUAUUCUAGACUAACGAAGUGAAGGAAGAUUAUUAGGUCAUGUAGUAUAAUAAACCUAUCAGGACCUACAAUGGAAAGACUUAAAAUGUGAUUAACCAGGCAACAUGAGGAUGAUGGUGGGUAAUUGGAGUUAUGACCAUUUUGGUGAAUUCUGUCACUAUUGCCUGAAAGCAGCCUUGCUUAAGAGUUGUUGCUGAUAACCUGCUAGGGAUCAGAGUUUGUUUUGUUGGGAUGUCAGUAGAGGUGGAAGGCAUUUGUAAAACAUACUUUAUGACUUGGAUUUUCUUUUAGAUUUUUAAGCAGACAGGCAUUUCUCAUUUUGCAGAUGAAGGCAGCUCACUCCCUAAUGGAUUCCAGAACCUCACCCUAUUUCAGUAGAAAAAGUCUAUUGGAAAAAUUAUUACUUCAAUUAUGAAGAUGCUGAGCUUUUGGUGUUUAUGGAAUCUUCAGUAAGAAAUUGUCACUUAGUACUUCGAUAUGUAGACCUAGAGUUUCAGAGGGGAUUGGGAGUUUCAGGGGGGAAUCUUGGUUGGAGAAAGAAUAUUUGGUAUUGUCUUACCCAAUGGGAAUGAGUGCGAUUGCCCAGAAAAGGUGUGCUGCAUUUUACAAUGUUUAGAGUAGAUUCCAGAUAGGGAAAGAAGUGACAGUGGAAAGGGGCUAACUGUGAGAAAGUUGAGAGGGUCAUUGGAUUAGCGAUCUGGUUAAGAUAAAGAGUUGGCAUAAGGAGAAUAACUGAGUAAGAGAAAUUGAAGAGUGAAAAGUAAAAGUUUGUAUUCAGAGAGUGGGGUGACUGAAUUUAAUCUUUUAAAUCUGGAACUAUUCUGUGUAAAACAGUUUUGGGCAUGCCUGGGGAUGACUGGAAGUGAGGAGAGGUCCUGUGGAAAGGAUUGUUAGGGAGGGCACAAAAAGUGGAAUCACAGAGCAGUGAUCGCCAUGAAGCUACAAAGAGAUUAAGCCAGGGAGGGGCUUAGAUGUCAGAAGGCAAGUGAGGAUACCGGAAAUGCGAGGUAUGAUGAGCUACGGAAUUGAGAAGACAACUGGCCACAGCUAUCCUCUGCAGAGAAGACGGGCAAGAGGCACUUAGGUUCUUCUAGAGCCAGUCACAGCCUGCAUGGAAUUUUGGUUGUUGAGGUUGUGGCAAUGCAGAUAUCUGUGGGUCUUCACUGCAUUGGUUCUGGGGUCAAAGUUGUUAGUGUUAGACUUUGUACUAGGGCUGCUGCAUGGACUCCAGGAGCUGUACACAGUGCAAGUUAAAGGAAUCCAUGUUAUCUGUUAUCGUUAAGCCCCUUCAAGUGUGUCAUCUCAUGGGUUUUUUUUACAAGCUCAGACUGGGGUUGGGAAGCAGGGCUAUAUCCAUUUCCAGAUGCCCUAUGGAGGGAAUGGAGAUAAGGAGUUGAAAAUGGAGAAUGAGAACUAUUUGGUGCAUCUUGUGUUGAGUUGGAGGAUUGAAUCAAUGCUAGGAAUGAAGUCAGAGCCAGGUGAGGGACCAGAAGUCACUUCAAAAAUUACUAAAACAAGGAGGUAAAAUUAGAGGAUUAGAAGAUCACAUGUAUCCCAGAUAUACGAUAGAAUGGCUAGAUAGAGAGUGGGUAAGAAACAAGGUCUAGUUAUUAGGGUGAAAGUAAAGGUGGGGUUUGGUUAUAUGGCAUAUAGUAUAGGGUUGGUUUGGUAUUAACAGUAUGCCUUCUUAUUUGCAGAAGGCAUACAAUUAAAAAACAAAACAAAACAUGGCUACAUUGGACCAAUUAACUCUUGUCACCUUGUGACCAGUAAGAUGACCUUGAAUAAUCUGUUAAAAUCUAUGGCACUCUGUCUUCUCAUGUGUAAAAAUUAAGCUAUUGGCUCAGGUGAUCUCUGAAGUUUCCAAUAGCUCUGCGAUACUACAUCAUUUAUUUUGCCUUAUUCAGGUUCCAUCUGUCCUCCAACAACCCCCGGAAUCCCCUCUAGGGCCCCAAAUUGCACUGACGAGGUCCACUGCCUUCAGGCAAGGCCAGCUCUACUUUCUUCCUAACAGACAUUUGGGGAGAAAUAAUACAUAUCCUUCUGGAAAGUGAAUGACCUAAUUUCUCUAGAACAGAAUGUGACUGUAUUGUUUACAUUUGGUUUUAUUUUUGUUACCAGGCAAUCAGUAUCGAGCCUGUUGGAAUGAUAUAUGCCAGCUGGGUUUUGUGCCUCAUCACACUGGCAGAGAGAAGAGUAUGAAGCUUGGAGGAGUGGAGGAGGCUGAAAAGGAGGCAAAGGGUGAGGACAGAGAGACAAGAUGGAAGUGGGGGAGAAAAACAAGGAUGAGAGAAUGCCAGGUGGUGCUGAGAAGGACAGGAGAGACUUUUCUGCUUGUAAAGGGCACACAAUGGCAGAAUCCAGCUAUGCAGAGGCAUCUGGCUCCAGAAAUAACAGGCCACUUAGCACUCACUCCUUCAAAACGGGACGGAGGGACAAAAUACCAAGAAGGAACCAGAUUCUGCCAGUUACAGAGUGUUGACAACACGCUGUCAUGCUGAAAAGGCACACUCAACUCCAGAAAAAUACCAAAUGAAAGUUAAAGAACCUAAGUGUUUCCAAGAUAAGAGAGACAAGGAGCCUCCCGUGAGCUAUAUGAAGUCGAAGGAAAGAUCAUGGAGGAAAAGAAGAUUCGCUGUCUUCAAACAAACACAAGAGAAUGGUUACUUUUACAGUGGUGCCCCCUAGUGCCGAUCGGAUUAGACUCACUUUCUAUAUUUGCCAAAAUACCACACAAGAGAAGCCAAAUUUGGAGAGUUGACAAUGUUGGUAACUUUUCCUGCAUUUUCUUUAGCGUAGGAGAGAAUGAAG